This 428-nucleotide ribosomal RNA is filed under the name uncultured bacterium. RNAcentral's name for it is "bacterial SSU rRNA". It matches the Rfam family "Bacterial small subunit ribosomal RNA", at positions 355 to 775 of the family's 1533-position model. The record is from RNAcentral.
CGGGGAAUUUUGGACAAUGGGCGCAAGCCUGAUCCAGCCAUUCCGCGUGCAGGACGAAGGCGUUCGGGUUGUAAACUGCUUUUGUACGGAACGAAAAGGCUCUGGCUAAUACCUGGGGCUCAUGACGGUACCGGAAGAAUAAGCACCGGCUAACUACGUGCCAGCAGCCGCGGUAAUACGUAGGGUGCAAGCGUUAAUCGGAAUUACUGGGCGUAAAGCGUGCGCAGGCGGUUAUGUAAGACAAAGGUGAAAUCCCCGGACUCAACCUGGGGACUGCCUUUGUGACUGCAUAGCUCGAGUACGGCAGAGGGGGAUGGAAUUCCGCGUGUAGCAGUGAAAUGCGUAGAUAUGCGGGGGAACACCGAUGGCGAAGGCAAUCCCCUGGGCCUGUACUGACGCGCAUGCACGAAAGCGUGGGGAGCAAACAG